UGGGGAAUAUUGCGCAAUGGGCGAAAGCCUGACGCAGCAACGCCGCGUGAGUGAAGAAGGCCUUCGGGUUGUAAAGCUCUGUCAGAAGGGAAGAAUCGUGCUGGCAACACCAGCCUUUGACGGUACCUUCGAAGGAAGCACUGGCUAACUCCGUG
RNAcentral lists this ribosomal RNA (155 nucleotides) under uncultured bacterium. Its description in RNAcentral is "partial 16S ribosomal RNA". It matches the Rfam family "Bacterial small subunit ribosomal RNA", at positions 355 to 507 of the family's 1533-position model. The record is from RNAcentral.